GAUGAACGCUGGCGGCGUGCCUAAUACAUGCAAGUCGAGCGAACAGACGAGGAGCUUGCUCCUCUGACGUUAGCGGCGGACGGGUGAGUAACACGUGGAUAACCUACCUAUAAGACUGGGAUAACUUCGGGAAACCGGAGCUAAUACCGGGUAAUAUAUUGAACCGCAUGGUUCAAUAGUGAAAGACGGUUUUGCUGUCACUUAUAGAUGGAUCCGCGCCGCAUUAGCUAGUUGGUAAGGUAACGGCUUACCAAGGCAACGAUGCGUAGCCGACCUGAGAGGGUGAUCGGCCACACUGGAACUGAGACACGGUCCAGACUCCUACGGGAGGCAGCAGUAGGGAAUCUUCCGCAAUGGGCGAAAGCCUGACGGAGCAACGCCGCGUGAGUGAUGAAGGUCUUCGGAUCGUAAAACUCUGUUAUUAGGGAAGAACAAGUGUGUAAGUAACUAUGCACGUCUUGACGGCACCUAAUCAGAAAGCCACGGCUAACUACGUG
This 497-nucleotide ribosomal RNA is filed under the name uncultured bacterium. RNAcentral's name for it is "partial 16S ribosomal RNA". It matches the Rfam family "Bacterial small subunit ribosomal RNA", at positions 28 to 507 of the family's 1533-position model. The record is from RNAcentral.